GACUGUGACAGAACCAUAGGCUAGCCGGAACAAUUCACAAUAUCUUAGUAUCAUAAUAGUCAAACAGAAUAAUAGGAGUUAGGAGAUACAGUACUGACUUCUCUGCACAUGUCAUCAUCACACUAUGCUGUUUAACUAUUAACAUUGCAUUCCAGAACCUUGUAACAAGCUUUUAUUGAAGGACAUGAGUUUCAACUUACGUUAAUAUCAAACUAAUUGCUACAUAAACUUGAUAAACUUAAUGUAACAGUUAAUAUGCUUCAAUUCAGGAACUAUGCCAUGAACUCCCCUGCUAAAAGACAUGUUGCUUUUAAUCUCUGUAAUUGUUUGGUCUCAAGCAACAUGUUGAGUCACUUGAUAGGGGUGUACAUCAAUACAUGGUAAAUAAACUGAACUGAUUUGAACCAUAUUAAUGGUUCAGUACCUUAAAACCACUU
Molecule: long non-coding RNA, 437 nt
Filed under: Medicago truncatula (barrel medic)
Lineage: Eukaryota; Viridiplantae; Streptophyta; Magnoliopsida; Fabales; Fabaceae
Description: long non-coding RNA (MTRU_LNC006970)
Source: RNAcentral